Molecule: long non-coding RNA, 236 nt
Organism: Ostrinia furnacalis (Asian corn borer)
Lineage: Eukaryota; Metazoa; Arthropoda; Insecta; Lepidoptera; Crambidae
Exons: 2
Source: RefSeq, a predicted model, not a curated record
AGCACUGGUCACAGUUAACGUGGAUUAUCUUUGUUACAAAUACGUUCCAUAGACUGCAUAUUAACACGGAAAGAGAAUCACAUAUUCGAAAAUAAUGUAAUAAUGGAACAGAUUUCACCUCAUCAACUGCGGGGAUCUGACCAAAUAUGUCAUCCCUGAUGGCAGUGAGCUGAUCGAGCUGCUACACAUGCUGUGGAGCCCCAACAAACACAUGAUGGGACGAGGAUUCAUUUGCC